CCCACACAAGCAAGGACUGUGUAACCUUUUUUAUGACAAACAAAGGGUCCUUGUGGGCAAGAGUGAGGUGGCCCUAGGGGGUGUGGCCAGAUCUGCCUGGGCCCAUUGGUUCCGCUACCUCACAGAACCCAGUGUGAGGUCACAGUUGUUAGCUAUAUAAGGCCGAGGCUCAGGUGAAUUGUUUGUGGGUGACGUAGGAGUUGGAUGGCAAGUGUUGGUGGUGAUUUGGUGAUCGGGUUGGUGGUGUGGAGAGUGGAGCUUGUGUUUCCAUCGAGAUGUGGCCUCUGGGUCAUGAGUCUGAUAGAACAUCUUGGCUGGGCCUCUCCACCAGCUCCAGCACUGACAGCCUCCAGGAAAACUAUGAGGUGCUGCGCCUCCUUGACAAAGGCGGCUUUGGUGAGAUCCUCCUGGCCAAACACCGUGGCACAGGGAUGCUGGUCGCUGUGAAGGCGAUAGUGAAGACAAAGAUGCCAGCAGCCUGCAUUAUAUCAGAGAUGUCUGCUGGGGGUCCUGCUUUCAGAUGGUCUCGAUGUAUCCAGGCAGAAUGUCCAGCCACCUUCACCGCCAAGGGAGUUGACAGGACAACAGGAACCAGUCCCUUCUAACGAGGUUCCAGGGUCUUGGAAUCAAACCUGCGAAUAAAAACCAAAUCUCCCGGCCUAUAGGGUAAAGGUUGUAGAGGUUUUUCAUUUGGACUAGACAUUUUCUUUUGUAAUGUCUCGUAGCUCCGACCGAAGCUGAUGAACUGCUUUUAAGGAUUUAAGGAGUCGAAGGAACCUGGAGUCGGGAGGCUUACCGGCCCAUCAGCCACCUCACUCCUGACAACAAACGGUUGCAACCGGCCAAAAAUUUACCUCCAGAGGUUUUCUGAGGUCUGUGCCUGAGAGUCUCCUGCUGGAUCCUGCCAGAGUCUCGGCUGAACCGGGGUUCCUUACCCAGGGAUCUCGCUGGGGCCUCCAAAAUGUAAGACCUCUGUCCUUACCAAAAGCUCUGAGGAGCUGACUAUAGUGAAGCACACCCAGGGAUCCCAGCGGUGCCUCCAGAAUGUAAGACCAAGGGCCUUACCAAAUGCUCCAAGGAGCUGAAGUGGAGCACACCCGGGGUUCCCAGCGGUGCCUCCAGAAUGUAAGACCAAAGGCCUUACCAAAUGCUCCAAGGAGCCGGAGUGGAGCACACUUGGGGGUCCCAGCGGUGCCUCCAGAAUGUAAGACCAAAGGCCUUACCAAAUGAUCCAAGGAGCUGACUGCAGUGGAGAACACCCAGGAAGGAACACACCGGACAAAUUGGAAAGUGAAACAGACCUUAGUCUGGCCAGAGGGCACUCCCAAAGCAAAGUAGCUUAGAGAGGCCUAGUCCAGAGUCCGAGGCUCUUUUUAUAGGGGCUUGCAGGAGAGUUAACAGGUGAAGUUUACAGAAGAAGGAACAAAAGUUCAGUGGUCUUACAUUUGUAUGUUAAUUAGCAAGACAUGUACUGUUAGUCAGCAGAUGCUUUGUAGAUUGUUCUAUAGAUAGUGGUGUCCGGAACAAAGGGUGGGAUAACUAGGACUGAUAGGGAUCUUUAAACUUUACAGAGGGUACAAUGUGGGCCACAGCCCUGACCAUCCAAUAAGGUUACAAGUGCAGUCGCUUAGCCAAUGGUGUCCAAUAGGGAGAUAAGUCACGUAACAAGCGUGGAUGGAAAGACAAAGAUUCUCCUAGGAAGUGCUGGGUCCAGAGGUCUCUGGUCACCCACCAGGGUGGCCGAUGUCUGUCUCAGCUUCACUAGGCCCAGUGCUUGCUCUUUGACCAAGUAUGCAGGUUGGGUCAGCUUGUCUUUAUCCUGAGGCCCACGUUCCAACCGAUGUGUCUCCCUCUGGUGCAGCUGUGGUGUUUCAGAUAGGGCCUGGCCUAUCUGACCACCUCUAAUAUCCCUGCCUGACUCAUCGGUCUAUAAUCCCAGCACUUGGGAGAGGCAGGAGGAUCCCCAUGAGUUCCAGGCCACCUGAACUACAUAGCGAGACCCUGUCUCAGAAAACAAAACAAAACACAAAUCAGCCAUAUUUAAAAGCAGUCCUUUUUAAAAUUCCUGUUUACUUAUUGAUGUGUUGGGAUGUUGGGAGCAAUGCUACAUAAUUCUAGGGAGAAAUCAUUUGGUUAGCCUAGUUCUCUUGCCUACAGCCCAGCUACAGAAUAACUCCAGUUUGGCCUCCGGUCACAACUGAGACUUCAGUGAUCCAGUGAUGCUGUGAUUCUCCAGGACAAGAAACAUCCUAGGAGAACAAACAUCUGCUCAGUUCCUCAUUGUUCUUGAACUGUUAACAUCUUGUUUACCCGAGAUGUACUGAACUCUCUGCAAGCCUUUUGUUACACCUUGUUCGUCCCAAUGUGAACUACUGAACUCUCUGCAAGUCAUUUGUUACAUUUGUUUCUCCCGAUGUACUGAAUUCUCUGCAAGUCAUUUGUUACGAGGUACUGAAUAAAAGGUGGCACUGAUGUUUCUGGUGUGUGAGCAGUGCUCUGAUGACCACCACCUUAGCAUGCAGCCUUGUAAAUUCUGCGUGUCACCUACGAAAAGUCGUCAUCCAAAAGAUGAGUAUUUAAGUUGUUAUCCCCAAGAGCAAUUUUUUUUUUGUCAGUUUUUUGGAGACAGUGUCUCAAUGUAUAGUCCAGGCUUGCCUUGAACUCACAGUGAUCCUCCUGCUUCAGCCUCCCCAGUACUGGGAUUACAGUCAUGAGCCACCACACCUAGCUACAAGAACAUUCUUGUAGUGAAAUUGUUGGUGUGUCCUUAAUUACUAGUUAUCUGGGUAACUAAGAUUAUCAUAUUACCAAUUUAUUCUCAAUUAUUAAAUUACUAGGAUUAAGUUUCCAAUUUCAGAAAUGGAAUUGCUGGGUCAGAAGCCAUGCAUGUUUAUCAAGCUUUGUGAUGUACACUGUCGAAUUGCCAUGGUAAACCUAUGUUUACCAUGUGGUAUGCGUCAUCUGGGUUAUCUCAUUUUUAAGUCAUUCAUUGGUUCAUUCUGCAUGGAUUCACUGGAUAAUACUUUGUUCAAGGUAUGUUGCUCACACAGAUGAGCAAGAUGUAGUAACCUGUGGGACAGAUGCUGUCAUUGUCCCAUUGUGCAGGUAAGGACACUGAGACCCACUGGACAGAAGGCUAGCCUGCUCCUUGGCCAGCUGCAUCACUUAACCAGUCACAACAGUGCCAGCGGCCUGAACCAGCUGGACAUUCUGCAGAACACUACAUUGGCCCAGCCUAUCUGUGGGCUGGAGGGUUGGGUGGCCUCAGAGAGGAGAAGCGAGACCCCCCACAAGAAUUCACAUCAGUGAAGUUUGUGGAGGUUCCAGCAGUGCGGAUGUGCUGGGACAUCCUCUCUAAAGUACAGUACAAACCUUCCAAAAGCGGAUACUGUGAUUCUCAAUUCUUUCCGACUUGUGUCCUUUCUGUCUCCACACCUGAAGUAAAUUCUGCCUGGAAGCCAUUGCCCCACAGUGCUCCCUGGAGGAUCAAUGGACUGUGCUGGUUCCCAGACACCUGGGCCUGCCGUGGUCAGUACAUGGCAAGGUUCAGUCAUGCAUUCCCUCCCUUCCUGACAUCCCGGUAGGUCUCAGGCAAGGAGCCCUGGUAGGAGGCAGGCUCAGAUACUGUUCCUGUUCUUCUUCUGGGAUGCUUAGCUCUUUUUAACCCAGAAGUUGCUGGGAAAAUCUAUGUCUAAAAUGCAUACCAAGCCAGGCAUGGUGGUACAUGUCUGUAAUCCCAGCACUCAGAGACUGAGGCAGGAGGACCAUUGUGAAUUUGAGGGCAGCCUAGACUACAUGGUGAGACCCUGUCUCAAAAAACCAAUAAUCAAAAACAAUGCAUGCCAGCAGAAUGCUGAGGAGCAAUAAGUCCCUUUCCUGUUGUCUCCUAACUGGAUAUGGCUUUCCCCAGGGGUUGCCAUGAUGUCAUACCAAAGAGGCCACUUGAGGUGGACAAGUCAAUCCUCUGGUUGCCUUGACUUGUGCUAUAAGACUCUGUUCUCACAGGCAGCAAGAGUGUUGUGACUGAACUUUGUAUAUUAAACACUUUUGAUAUUAAAAGAGUUUGGAGGGCCAGGGAUUUAGCUCAGUGAUUUUGCCACCUGCUGCGCAAGUGCAAGGACCCAAGUUCGAUCCCCAGUACCAAAAAAAAAGGGGUUGGUAAGCCUCAAAAUAAAAAAAAUCACAUUAGUUAAGAAGAAAGGACCCGGUAGAGCUCUUGACUUGGAAAUGCAUCAUGCAGGCAUGCAUCAACAGCCUCCAGGACAUGGCCUUCACCUGGCAUCAACCACCUGGCACAGCACAGUCUGCCUGCUGCUGUAGAAGGACUGGAAGUGCAGCUGAGGGCAGAUGUGUGAAUCCAGGCUUCCUAGCCACACAGCUCUAGGCCCUGUAGGUGCAGGGCUGUGCUUCCACCAGGAGACACACAGGAGCCUCUCUGAACUUUAAUCGGGAGCUGCUACCUAGCCACUUCUGGCUCCUUGUGCCUGCCAAGAACCAGCCGUGCCAUCAAGACGUGGGUGCAGAGCCAGGUGUGGUUUUGCACGCCUGUAAUCCCCACACCUGGGAGGCUGAGGCAAGAGGAUCACUGCACAUUUGAGGCCUAUCUGGGCUACAUAGUGAGUUCAAGGCACCACUUGGGAUUCUGUGGUUUGACCAGGCUCAGCUCCACAUGAUGCUACUGGGGACAUCAGUCUUUGAGGGCUCAUUCCCAUGGCUGGCACCACGUGAGAGACAGCUUGAAGGUAGAGCUCACCUGGGCACUGGGGCACCAGCUUCUCUCUCUGUCCAUGUGUGACCUUUCUGUGUGAUCUGUCCUGUUGGUCUUUUGGCAGGGCGGGAAGAUGAGGACAAGUUUCCUAAGUGCUCUGUGCCCAGCUGGGUCCAUUCCACCUCAUUCCCCCAAGAAGGCUCCAACUCUGCCUCCUCCUCACAAGGCAUGUGUCUUGUCCCAGGUGCCACCUGCUCCCACAUGGGAUUUGUCUGUUCUUUCUGUGCCAAUUCCUGUGCUGAGGACCUGACAUGGAUUUUCUCCUUUAGGGCCCAAGGCAAACCCAGGAAGGUGUGUAACUAUUCCUUACUUCUUGAGUGAGGGAACUUUGAGGAGAAAUGUGGAGGGUGUGCCCAUCGUCAUGAGGCUGCUGAUCCAGGGGUUGUGCUUGGAGUAGUUGGGUUCCAGGAGCACUUUCUGGAAUAUAAGCUUUGAGUGGAGCUCCUCCCUGGAAACCCACAUGGCCUGCAAACUUCCCUUUCCUUUCACCCCUUCCGACUUAGCAGCUAUAAAAUAGGAAAGGGUGCC
RNAcentral lists this long non-coding RNA (5296 nucleotides) under Heterocephalus glaber (naked mole-rat). RNAcentral describes it as "lncRNA (ENSHGLG00100033863.1)". The record is from RNAcentral. Lineage: Eukaryota; Metazoa; Chordata; Mammalia; Rodentia; Bathyergidae.